This 492-nucleotide ribosomal RNA is filed under the name uncultured bacterium. Its description in RNAcentral is "partial 16S ribosomal RNA". It matches the Rfam family "Bacterial small subunit ribosomal RNA", at positions 29 to 507 of the family's 1533-position model. The record is from RNAcentral.
AGUGAACGCUGGCGGUAGGCCUAACACAUGCAAGUCGAACGGCAGCACAGUAAGCUCUUGCUCUUACUGUUGGCGAGUGGCGGACGGGUGAGGAAUACAUCGGAAUCUACUUUUUCGUGGGGGAUAACGUAGAGAAACUUACGCUAAUACCGCAUACUUCCUACGGGUGAAAUCAAGGGUUCUUCGGACCCUUCGCGACUGAAUUAGCCGAUGUCGGAUUAGCUAGUUGGCGAGGUAAAGGCCCACCAAGGCGACGAUCCGUAGCUGGUCUGAGAGGAUGAUCGGCCACACUGGAACUGAGACACGGUCCAGACUCCUACGGGAGGCAGCAGUGGGGAAUAUUGGACAAUGGGCGAAAGCCUGAUCCAGCAAUGCCGCGUGAGUGAAGAAGGUCUUCGGGUUGUAAAGCCCUUUUGUUGGGAAAGAACAGCAGCAGGUUAAUACCCGGCUGUUCUGACGGUACCCAAAGAAUAAGCACCGGCUAACUUCGUG